RNAcentral lists this ribosomal RNA (859 nucleotides) under uncultured organism. RNAcentral's name for it is "bacterial SSU rRNA". It matches the Rfam family "Bacterial small subunit ribosomal RNA", at positions 63 to 917 of the family's 1533-position model. The record is from RNAcentral.
GGAAACGAUAUUGGAAGCUUGCUUCCGAUAGGCGUCGACCGGCGCACGGGUGAGUAACGCGUAUCCAACCUGCCCAUCACUUGGGGAUAACCUUGCGAAAGUAAGACUAAUACCCAAUGAUAUCCGUCGAAGACAUCUGAAGUGGAUUAAAGAUUCAUCGGUGAUGGAUGGGGAUGCGUCUGAUUAGCUCGUUGGCGGGGUAACGGCCCACCAAGGCAACGAUCAGUAGGGGUUCUGAGAGGAAGGUCCCCCACAUUGGAACUGAGACACGGUCCAAACUCCUACGGGAGGCAGCAGUGAGGAAUAUUGGUCAAUGGACGAGAGUCUGAACCAGCCAAGUAGCGUGCAGGAUGACGGCCCUAUGGGUUGUAAACUGCUUUUAUAAGGGAAUAAAGUGGGAGUCGUGACUCCUUUUGCAUGUACCUUAUGAAUAAGGACCGGCUAAUUCCGUGCCAGCAGCCGCGGUAAUACGGAAGGUCCGGGCGUUAUCCGGAUUUAUUGGGUUUAAAGGGAGCGUAGGCCGGAGAUUAAGCGUGUUGUGAAAUGUAGAUGCUCAACAUCUGCACUGCAGCGCGAACUGGUUUCCUUGAGUACGCACAAAGUGGGCGGAAUUCGUGGUGUAGCGGUGAAAUGCUUAGAUAUCACGAAGAACUCCGAUUGCGAAGGCAGCUCACUGGAGCGCAACUGACGCUGAAGCUCGAAAGUGCGGGUAUCGAACAGGAUUAGAUACCCUGGUAGUCCGCACGGUAAACGAUGGAUGCCCGCUGUUGGUCUGAAUAGGUCAGCGGCCAAGCGAAAGCAUUAAGCAUCCCACCUGGGGAGUACGCCGGCAACGGUGCAACUCAAAGGAAUUGACGGA